UGGGGAAUAUUGCACAAUGGGCGCAAGCCUGAUGCAGCCAUGCCGCGUGUGUGAAGAAGGCCUUCGGGUUGUAAAGCACUUUCAGCGGGGAGGAAGGCGUUAAGGUUAAUAACCUUGGCGACUGACGUUACCCGCAGAAGAAGCACCGGCUAACUCCGUGCCAGCAGCCGCGGUAAUACGGAGGGUGCAAGCGUUAAUCGGAAUUACUGGGCGUAAAGCGCACGCAGGCGGUCUGUCAAGUCAGAUGUGAAAUCCCCGGGCUAAACCUGGGAACUGCAUUCGAAACUGGAAGGCUAGAGUGUUGUAGAGGGGGGUAGAAUUCCAGGUGUAGCGGUGAAAUGCGUAGAGAUCUGGAGGAAUACCGGUGGCGAAGGCGGCCCCCUGGACAAAGACUGACGCUCAGGUGCGAAAGCGUGGGGAGCAAACAGG
RNAcentral lists this ribosomal RNA (429 nucleotides) under Chloroflexota bacterium. Its description in RNAcentral is "Chloroflexi bacterium partial 16S ribosomal RNA". It matches the Rfam family "Bacterial small subunit ribosomal RNA", at positions 355 to 776 of the family's 1533-position model. The record is from RNAcentral. Lineage: Bacteria; Bacillati; Chloroflexota.